RNAcentral lists this ribosomal RNA (789 nucleotides) under uncultured bacterium. RNAcentral describes it as "bacterial SSU rRNA". It matches the Rfam family "Bacterial small subunit ribosomal RNA", at positions 8 to 796 of the family's 1533-position model. The record is from RNAcentral.
AGAGUUUGAUCAUGGCUCAGGAUGAACGCUAGCGGCAGGCCUAAUACAUGCAAGUCGAACGGGCUGGAGUAGCAAUACUUCAGUUAGUGGCGCACGGGUGCGUAACGCGUAUGCAACCUACCUUCUAUUGGGGGAUAGCCUUCCGAAAGGGAGAUUAAUACCGCAUAAUAUCAUUUGAUGGCAUCUGAAGAUGAUUAAAGCUACGGCGAUAGGAGAUGGGCAUGCGUGCCAUUAGCUAGUUGGUUGAGGUAACGGCUCACCAAGGCGACGAUGGCUAGGGGUUCUGAGAGGAUGAUCCCCCACACUGGUACUGAGAUACGGACCAGACUCCUACGGGAGGCAGCAGUAGGGAAUAUUGGGCAAUGGACGCAAGUCUGACCCAGCCAUGCCGCGUGAAGGAUGAAGGCCUUCUGGGUUGUAAACUUCUUUUAUCUAGGAAGAAAAUACUCUUGCGAGAGGAACUGACGGUACUAGAUGAAUAAGCACCGGCUAACUCCGUGCCAGCAGCCGCGGUAAUACGGAGGGUGCAAGCGUUGUCCGGAUUUAUUGGGUUUAAAGGGUGCGUAGGCGGCCCUGUAAGUCAGUGGUGAAAGCCCAUAGCUCAACUAUGGAACUGCCAUUGAUACUGCAGGGCUUGAGUACAGACGAGGUUGGCGGAAUUGAUGCUGUAGCGGUGAAAUGCAUAGAUAGCAUCAAGAACACCGAUUGCGAAGGCAGCUAACUAGGCUGUAACUGACGCUGAGGCACGAAAGCGUGGGGAGCGAACAGGAUUAGAUACCCUAGUAGUCC